GCAGCAGUGGGGAAUAUUGCACAAUGGAGGAAACUCUGAUGCAGCGACGCCGCGUGAAUGAUGAAGGCCUUCGGGUUGUAAAGUUCUGUCCUUGGGGAAGAUAAUGACGGUACCCAAGGAGGAAGCCCCGGCUAACUACGUGCCAGCAGCCGCGGUAAUACGUAGGGGGCGAGCGUUGUCCGGAAUUAUUGGGCGUAAAGGGUUCGCAGGCGGUCUGAUAAGUCAGAUGUGAAAGGCGUAGGCUCAACCUACGUAAGCAUUUGAAACUGUCAGACUUGAGUUAAGGAGAGGAAAGUGGAAUUCCUAGUGUAGCGGUGAAAUGCGUAGAUAUUAGGAGGAAUACCAGUGGCGAAGGCGACUUUCUGGACUUAUACUGACGCUGAGGAACGAAAGCGUGGGGAGCAAACAGGAUUAGAUACCCUGGUAGUCCACGCCGUAAACGAUGAGUGCUAGGUGUUGGGGGUCAAACCUCGGUGCCGCAGCUAACGCAUUAAGCACUCCGCCUGGGGAGUACGUACGCAAGUAUGAAACUCAAAGGAAUUGACGG
This 547-nucleotide ribosomal RNA is filed under the name uncultured Soehngenia sp. RNAcentral's name for it is "bacterial SSU rRNA". It matches the Rfam family "Bacterial small subunit ribosomal RNA", at positions 348 to 916 of the family's 1533-position model. Lineage: Bacteria; Bacillati; Bacillota; Tissierellia; Tissierellales; Tissierellaceae. The record is from RNAcentral.